Molecule: ribosomal RNA, 399 nt
Filed under: uncultured Saprolegniales
Lineage: Eukaryota; Oomycota; Saprolegniomycetes; Saprolegniales
Description: partial small subunit ribosomal RNA
Rfam family: Eukaryotic small subunit ribosomal RNA
Source: RNAcentral
GCUUGUCUCAAAGAUUAAGCCAUGCAUGUCUAAGUAUAAACAACUUUGUACUGUGAAACUGCGAAUGGCUCAUUAUAUCAGUUAUAGUCUACUCGAUAGUACCUUACUACUUGGAUAACCGUAGUAAUUCUAGAGCUAAUACAUGCGUAAAUACCCAACUGCUUGUCGGACGGGUAGCAUUUAUUAGAUUGAAACCAAUGCAGCUUCGGCUGGUAUUGUGUUGAGUCAUAAUAACUGUGCGGAUCGCUUUUUAAGCGAUAAAUCGAUUGAGUUUCUGCCCUAUCAGCUUUCGAUGGUAGUGUAUUGGACUACCAUGGCGGUGACGGGUAACGAAGAAUAAGGGUUCGGUUUCGGAGAGGGAGCCUGAGAGAUGGCUACCACAUCCAAGGAAGGCAGCAG